AUGUCUCAUGCCUCGCUCGGUCGAACGUUCUCCGUCGGUUGAUCUUGAGCUGGAUGCUUACCAUUCUCUGCUUUUGCAAGGAGGUUUAGUACGAGACAAGAGCAAUCACCUUUGCUGAUCUUUGAGUACGAUUCCAUCUUCUCCAGAUGGUGGACUAUUGUAAUUUAUGCGGCAAGACAU
RNAcentral lists this small nucleolar RNA (180 nucleotides) under Exophiala sideris. Lineage: Eukaryota; Fungi; Ascomycota; Eurotiomycetes; Chaetothyriales; Herpotrichiellaceae. The record is from RNAcentral.